Molecule: transfer RNA, 64 nt
Filed under: Chlorophorus simillimus
Lineage: Eukaryota; Metazoa; Arthropoda; Insecta; Coleoptera; Cerambycidae
Description: tRNA-Ala
Rfam family: tRNA
About the family: Transfer RNA (tRNA) molecules are approximately 80 nucleotides in length. Their secondary structure includes four short double-helical elements and three loops (D, anti-codon, and T loops).
Source: RNAcentral
GGGAAUAUAGUUAAUAAUAACAUUUAAUUUGCAAUUAAAAAGUAUUGAUUCAUCAAUUUUUCUC